This 582-nucleotide ribosomal RNA is filed under the name uncultured bacterium. RNAcentral describes it as "bacterial SSU rRNA". It matches the Rfam family "Bacterial small subunit ribosomal RNA", at positions 102 to 694 of the family's 1533-position model. The record is from RNAcentral.
AAGGGAGAGGAAUAAGUAGAAAUCUACCCUCGGAUCGGGGAUAGCGGCGGGAAACUGCCGGUAAUACCCGAUAACGUCUUUGGACCAAAGGUGUGAUUCCGUCUGAGGAUGAGUCUACUUCCUAUUAGCUAGUUGGCGGGGUAAUGGCCCACCAAGGCAACGAUGGGUAGCAGGUGUGAGAGCAUGACCUGCCUCAUUGGGACUGAGACACUGCCCAGACACCUACGGGUGGCUGCAGUCGAGAAUCUUCGGCAAUGGACGAAAGUCUGACCGAGCGACGCCGCGUGCGGGAUGAAGGCCUUCGGGUUGUAAACCGCUGUCGGAGGGGAACAAAUGUACGGGGGUACUCCCCUGUAUUUGAGUGAACCUAGGAGGAAGGGGAGGCUAAGCUCGUGCCAGCAGCCGCGGUAAGACGAGCUCUCCGAACGUUAUUCGGUAUCACUGGGCUUAAAGAGUUCGUAGGCGGUCUGGUAGGUGAGGUGUGAAAUCCCCCGGCUCAACCGGGGAACUGCGCUUCAAACCGCCGGACUUGAGGGAGACAGAGGUGGGCGGAACAGAUGGUGGAGCGGUGAAAUGCGUUGA